RNAcentral lists this ribosomal RNA (253 nucleotides) under uncultured bacterium. Its description in RNAcentral is "partial 16S ribosomal RNA". It matches the Rfam family "Bacterial small subunit ribosomal RNA", at positions 524 to 776 of the family's 1533-position model. The record is from RNAcentral.
UACGGAAGGGGCUAGCGUUGUUCGGAAUUACUGGGCGUAAAGAGCGCUCAGGCGGCUUACCAAGUUGGGGGUGAAAUCCCGGAGCUCAACUCCGGAACUGCCUUCAAAACUGGUAGGCUCGAGUCCGGAAGAGGGGCGUGGAAUUCCCAGUGUAGAGGUGAAAUUCGUAGAUAUUGGGAAGAACACCGGUGGCGAAGGAGGCGCCCUGGGCCGGUAAUGACGCUGAGGCGCGAAAGCGUGGGGAGCAAACAGG